RNAcentral lists this ribosomal RNA (370 nucleotides) under uncultured bacterium. Its description in RNAcentral is "bacterial SSU rRNA". It matches the Rfam family "Bacterial small subunit ribosomal RNA", at positions 527 to 896 of the family's 1533-position model. The record is from RNAcentral.
AGAGGGUGCAAGCGUUAAUCGGAAUUACUGGGCGUAAAGGGUGCGUAGGUGGUUUGUUAAGUCAGGCGUGAAAUCCUCGGGCUCAACCUGGGAACUGCGCUUGAUACUGGCAGACUCGAGUGUGGUAGAGGAUAGUGGAAUUCCCGGUGUAGCGGUGAAAUGCGUAGAUAUCGGGAGGAACAUCAGUGGCGAAGGCGGCUAUCUGGACUAACACUGACACUGAGGCACGAAAGCGUGGGUAGCAAACAGAAUUAGAUACCCUGGUAGUCCACGCCCUAAACGAUGGGUACUAGACGUCGGGAAGCUUGUCUUCUUGGUGUCGCAGCUAACGCAAUAAGUACCCCGCCUGGGGAGUACGGUCGCAAGAUUA